AAUAACAUUCUUGCUUUUAGAUUUAACUGUUUAGAUGAAGUUAUCACACAGUUAUAGUAGCAGGCGCCUCAGUUUAACUUUUAACAAGGUGAGGUGACUAAGAACUUACACACGAGAGGGCUCAAAAAGCCGCUAUACUCAUCUUCUAGUGUUUGGGGAAGAUCCCAGUGAUAUAUAGUCACGAAUGGUUGUAUACCUGUUCAUUUAUAUACCCAAUUAGAGGAGAAAGAGCAGCAACAACAAGAAAUCUAGUAAUAAUUCUGCUAGUGGAGUCUGCGAGAGUAAAGUGUACGCAAACCUUACCCCCUAUCCCUAAGGGUAGAUAAAUUGUUUCGGGGAGACGCUCGGGAAUUAGAGGAGAAAGAGAAAAAGAAAAAGAUUGAGGACAAGGUAGAGAGAGAAAGAAAGUACUAUGAAUGAUUUUACAAAUAAAAGUACAAACCAUUAGAUAGAAGUUCAUUGAUGAGAUUGUUAUAAAAUGCAAUGCCUUCCUUGUUGACUCCUCCACUUAACUUGCCACCUGAAUCAAGAACAAAGUUUAAUCGAAGUAGAGGCGAUGCAAUUGGCUAAUAUUGCAAAUGUGCAGAGAAAAGCUAACUCUACUGCAAUUAUUAAUGAUCCUUUUAUUGCCAUAGUCUCUUCUAAAAUUAGUUUUUCUAUAUAAUGUACUAAAUUUGGAUUAGAAUUUCUCUAGCUUAUGGUCUCAACGCCAAGACUAGCUUGAGUUUAUCUGAAUGCUUCCUUUUGAAGCUCACCUCUUUAUAUAGAGUUGCACGUUAAACGUGUAUGGAAAGAAAUUAUAUAUUCAAAAAUCAAAGAAGAGUACGAAGAAAAUUAAUCACACGAUUUGUUUUUGACUGAGGUACGAUCCAAAAUAAGUUAUUUUUGGCUUCUUUCUUGUGAUUCAAAAUAAGUGAUUUUUUAAUAUUUCAAAAAUGAAUUAAUUAUUAUUUCCCAAUAUUAUCUAUGAAGUAAAUAAUGUUUGAAUAUGUGUUAGGAGUAUUUAUGUGAGAUAGUAAAUACGAACAUGAUUAACUUCAUUGUUAAUUAAUGUUAAAAAAUAAAUUACUUAAGCUAUGUGAAAACACCAUAAAAAAUCACUUAUUUUUGGAUCGGAGAAAAUACUUUUAAUUGGGGGAGCCAACUACUAGGGGGUUAGAUACAUGCACCCAACGAGAAGUUAGUUGGUGGCGUGGGAAAUAGCAAAGUGUUAAGAGAAAACAUAUUGUGGCCCCGCUGCCAUUGGAGUCAAAGCUAGACAUACAUGAGUUUCUUGAUAACAACUGGAUAAUUGGCUGAUUAGAUUUAAACUUUCAGUUUUUCUUGCCAAUGAGAAAGGGUAUUUCUAAAGGUCAAAAUGGUGGGCUAACCAACGAACAAUCAGUCAACUGCUAUUUCAAGAAUCCGUGUCAUUCACCGAACAAAACAUGGAACAUACCAACAGUAUCUUAUCUUUUAUACUUCCUCCGUUUUCAAUUCAUUCGAUCAUAUUUCCUUUUUUAGUUCAUAUCAAAAAGAAUAACUUCUUUUCUUGUUUAAAAGUAUUUUAUAUUUAUGCAAUAAUUUAUAAUCACAUAAAAUAUAUGUGCAUCGUUUUAUAUUACAAAUACAAAAGUCUUAUUUUUUUUUCUUAAACUCUAUACUCAGUUAUAUGAGUUCACAUAAAUUGAAACAAAAGAAGUAUAAAUAAAUAAACAAUAUAUAUAUAUAUAUGCUCUAGUCACCAUAGGUCCACUCCCCUAAUAUCUCAGACACCGCUUAGCUUUCUUUGUUCUUCAACGUAGAAACACCGACGAACUCUGUCGACCAGCUCCGGUGAAGGACAAUAAUUUUCGGUGAGGGACGACCAUUAUCGGAUAACAUACCACAAUCUCCGAGGUAGGCUUUCGAUUUUUUACCCUGUUCUAUGUUUUCUACUACUGUUCGAUUUUCGCUUUCUUCUUCCCUAGUCUGAAAAUUUAUUUCAUUGUUCCUUCUAUUUUCUUUCUUUGAUAAUAUUUCGGAUAAAUCCAUUAUUUUACUUCUGUUUUGUCUGUAUUAUGCAAUAUAUUUUGUGAUUUUAGUCUGCGAAAUUGGGGGAUUUGUUUGUUAGGUUUUGAUUUUGUGUUACAAACAAUGAGAUUUGAUGUUACUAUCGAUGUUCGAUGAUAGUAUGAUGCCAUAGUGAAUGCUCCCUAGACUAUUUUUGAUUCAUUCUCGUGAAAUAAGUAGUAUAUAUUGCUGGUAGUUUGUUACAAUUUUGCAAAGUUUGGUUUCUUUUAUUUCACUCGAUACGAGUAUUCUGAAGUUUAUUUAGCUUUUUUACUGCUGCCCUAGCUCUAUUCGUUUAUCGGUAUUUGGAUUUAUGUUUUUCUUAAUAAUUCAGAGCUUUGAAAUUGGUCAAUUUGUCGUCGAUACUUUUUUUAGCUUCCUAUGCGCUAGUUAUGUGUAAAGUAGCAGCGUCCGAUGCCAUUUCUUAGUUUCUUAUGUGGUAGUCAUAUGUAGUGUAAAUAUUAAUGUUGUUUGAAUGCUAUAUUAAUCAUGAAAGCUCCUAAAAGUCUUAUUUUUAAUGCAUUGUUAUUAAAAGCGAGCACUUCUCGCUUAAAGCACAAAAUAAAGGCUAGGCUAGGGGUCUACCCUUUUCUGCCCUGUAGCAGGUAAAUUUCUCUUCUUCUGCUUCUUCUCUUCCUCUUCUGAUUUCUCUUCUACUGUUUGACUCCUCUCAUAUUUUCUCUUUCCUUUCUAUUUUUGUUAGUUCUUUUUUAUCCUGCCUUGUUUCUCUUUUAUCUGGUAUAACCUCAGUUUUAUAAUAGUAAUUUUUUAUACACAUUUAUCUAAAGGCAAAGAUGAAGUCCAUCUAUGUAACCUAAAAAAAGGACUAUAUAAAACCACUUUUAAGUAUUGAUUGCUAAAAUUGCCUCCUUAUCCCAACUCAAAAGGGUCCCUGUUAAUAACUCUGCAUAGAUGGUCUAGUAGUCACAUAAAGUAUGAGAAGGGAGAUCCUUAUUUCAUUUUGGAAUCUAAUGGCUGCAGGUGGAUGGUCACUUUUUUUAACUCUAUGCAGUUUAAGUAUAAUUGAAGUAUGAACUAACCAGAUGGUGCACAUACAUUCUGUUUCUACCAUUCUCUUUUAGUUAGAUUGUGCUUUUUUUUCACUUUCCCAAAUUUUAGCAAGUAUUAGAAAGAAAGAAGAUUCUGAAGAUAAAUAUCCAUCCGCUGUAAUACACCACAGUUGAGACACCGAGCCACGUAAUUCAAAAUGUCCUUUUUCAUUUUCUUCCACAGUAAUGCUGUCUCAAAUCCCGAUACAUCUUCGCGGCACCCGGAUGAAUCGAAUACCGCGAGCUAUGAGACUCCUCUAAAAUCAACUCCCGGAGACCAUCCAUAUUGGGCACACAAAUUCGGCCAUGCAUUCGCAAUAUGCAAUCAUCUCUAAGGGUCACAUCUCUAGCAUCAUCAUGCUGGACCCUGACCUUCAGGACAAACAAAUGCGGGUCAUCAUACUGCCUCUCUCUGAUGCGGUAAUACAAAGAAGACUGGGAAAUCACACUCGCCAACACACGACUGGGCUCGGAAAUAUCUAACCUCACCAUCUGAUUGGACAAGGCCUGAACAUCAACGGCAAUGGGCCUCUCCCCAACUGGAUUGUAUGCCAGACUACCCAUGCUGAUAGCCUUCCAGCUCAAAGCAUCGGCCACCACAUUGGCCUUCCUGGGAUGAUACAAAAUGGUGAUAUCAUAUAAUUCUUUGAGUAACUCAAACCAUCUUCGGUGUCUCAGAUUAAGAUCCUUCUGUUUAAACAAGUGUUGAAGACAAUGGUGGUCCGUAUACACCUCACAAGAUACACCAUAAAGAUAAUGCCUCCAAAUCUUCAGGGCAUGAACAAUUGCAGCCAACUCUAAGUCAUGAACAGGGUAGUUCUUCUCUUGAGGCUUUAGCUGAUGAGAAGAAGAAGCAAUUACUCUACCCUCUGCAUCAAUACACAACCGAUCCAAAUUCUCAUCGAACUACAAAAAUGGAUCAUUCUUCUGUGUCAACUUCGUCAAAGGCAAAGCAAUAGAUGAAAAUCCCUAAAUGAACCUGCGGUAAUAAUCUGCCAAAGCCCGAAGCUGAUGGUAAUACUAAUACUGGAGCGGUGGUCAAAGCCGACUUGAGCUUUUGGAAGCUCUCCUCGCAUUCAUCUGACCACACAAAUGGAGCAUUCUUCUGAGUCAACUUCAUCAAAGGCGAAGCAAUAGAUGAGAAACCCUGAAUGAAUAUGCCAUAAUAACCCGCCAAAUCGAGGAAACUCUGAAUCUCAAUAGCUGAGGACAGUCUGGGCAAACUCUGCACCGCCUCAAUCUUCUUUGUGUCGACCUGAAUACCAUCACUGGACACCACGUGUCCUAGGAAAGUCACAGUAUUAAGCCAGAAUUCACACUUAGAGAAUUUUAUAUAAAGCUUCACCUCUCUCAAUAGCUAUAAGACCACCCUCAAGUGUUGUGCGUGCUCCUCCUGGCUACACGAAUUCACCAGAAUGUCAUCAAUAAACACAAUCACGAAAGUAUCCAAAUAAGGCCGAAAUACACUGUUCAUCAAGUGCAUGAACGCGGCUGGGACGUUAGUCAGCCCGAGACAUCACUAGAAAAUCGUAGUGCCCGUAUCUUGUCCUGAAAGUCGUCUUCAUAAUGUCUGACUCCCUAAUCUUUAGCUGAUGAUAACCUGAUCGAAGAUCAAUCUUAGAGAAUACCCUCACUCCCUGGAGCUAAUCAAAUAAGUCCUCAAUACGGGGUAGUGGGUACUUGUUCUUCACUGUCACCUUAUUCAGUUGCCUGAAGUCAAUGCACAUUCUCAUUGUGCCAUCUUUCUUCUUUACAAAUAACACCGUUUCACCCCAAGGUGACACACUCGGGCGAAUGAACCCCUUAUCCAGGAGUUUCUGAAGCUGUUCUUUCAACUCUUUUAACUCUUCUGGUGCCAUACAAUAGGGAGGAAUAGAGAUGGGCAGAGUGCUCGGCACCAGAUCAAUACCGAAGUCAAUGUCCCUGUCCGGCGGCAUGCCCGGCAAGUCCGCUGGAAACACAUAAGGGAAAUCCCUAACAAUGGGAACCGAAUCAAGGCUUGGAGCCUCGGCUUCCACAUCUCUCACGAAAACCAAAUAUGAUAAACACCCCUUGCCAACCAUCCGUUGAGCUUUUAAGAAAGAAAUCACCCUGCUAGGUACAUAGUCAGUCACGCCUCGCCACUCGAUCCUCGGAAUACCAAGAAUAGCUAGUGUAACUAUCUUAGCAUGACAAUCCAGAAUAGCAUGCUACAGAGAUAGAAAAUCCAUACACGAAAUUACAUCGAAAUCCACCAUGCCCAAUAGUAAUAAAUCAACUAGGGUCUCCAGACUCCCAGUAGUUACCAGACAGGAUCGAUAGACAUGAUCCACAAUAAUAGUAUCACCCACCGGGGUAGAUACAGGCACGGGCAAGGCAAGACAAUCAUGGGUCGUACCCAAAUGAUGAGCAAAAUAAGAGGACACAUAUGAAUAGGUAGAUCCGGGAUNNNNNNNNNNNNNNNNNNNNNNNNNNNNNNNNNNNNNNNNNNNNNNNNNNNNNNNNNNNNNNNNNNNNNNNNNNNNNNNNNNNNNNNNNNNNNNNNNNNNNNNNNNNNNNNNNNNNGUCCUGUGGAAGACUAAGAUAAUACCUGUGAUAACUACAUCCGAGGCAAUAGCGUCCCUCCGAUCUGGAAGGGCAUAGAAAUGGGCUUGGCCACCGCCAGUACGUUUCUCACACCUAGGACGACCUCUGGCUGCCUGGCCACCACCCAUGGCUGUCUGAGUGGAAGCUGAAGAAACAUGUGCCGAAGACGAGGGCUGACCCCUCUGCUGAGCAUGCUUACUACGGGGUCGAGGAGACUGCCUCCUUACAUGACCCAACUUACCAAAAUCUUAGCAACAAACUGAAGUCAGAGAAGGGUACUGAUGAGAACCCCUCGCUGCGGACGAACCCUGAGCUGAAAGAGCAGGAGCAGAGCUCUGAGCUGGAAGAGCACUCAAAACAGGCUGACUCUGCUGAUGUCCUUGAUGGCCUCGGUGUGAAGAGGCUCCACUGGACUCUGUGCGUCCGGACUGGGAAGGCCUGAAGGAACGACCUCUACCCUGCUGGAAAUGGCCCCUAGAUGGGGCGCCGCUGAAAUUACCUAAACCUCAAGGACUGUUAGCCUCUCUCUCCACACGCUCCCAGCGACGAUCUGUCUGAAUCAGACCAGCCGCAUCAACAACCUCUUCAAACGUAGCUGUUGUAGCCCUCUCUCUAGUCAUCAAUAUACGAAUCAGAUAGUUGAGGCCAUCUAUAAACCUCCUGAUUCUCUCUCUAUCUGUUAGGAUCAUCCACAUAGCUUUCCUAGCCAGCCGAGUCAACCAUAACUCAUACCGAGUCACUGACAUAUCACCCUGUCAACCACUCGAACUGACGACGCAACUUUUCCCUGUGAGACUGGGCAGAUACUUAUCCAAAAAUACCGCGGAGAACUGCUGCCAAGUGAGGGGCGCUGCCCCAAAGGCCUACGCCUCUCAAACUCUUCCCACCAAGUAAAUGCAGCUCCUGUGAACUGAAAAGUGGUAAGCCAAGUGAGGGGCUUUGCCCCCAAUGGGCCUACGCCUCUAGAACUCUUCCCACCAAGUAAAUGCGGCUCCUGUGAACUGAAAAGUGGUAAAAGCCACUCCAUUGGACUCCAGAAUACUCGUCGUGCAAAGCAUACGCUGGCAUUUAUCCAGAAAACCCUGGGCAUCCUCCUCUUCAGCACCACUAAAAGUCGGAGGCUGCAGCCUACCGAACCUCUCCAACCGUCGCUGCUCAUCAUCCGGCAUAGCUGGGAUGACAUGAACUGGAACAGGUGCGACCGACGCAGCUGGAACAGCCGGUGUAACUGGCUGAACUGGAGCAACUGGCUGAACUGGCGGAACUAGCUGAACUGGCUGAACUGGAGCUACCCCAGGUGUCUGUAUGCCCUGAACAACCUUCUCGGGAGUGCGAGCAUCGGGGGUCUGAUGACCACCCCCGAUCUGAGAAGUAGCCAUUGCUGUAGUGGUUGAAACCGCCUGAGCUAGGCCAGUUCAGACAAACAAAAUCUGGGCCAAAGCCUCCUGGAGGCCUGGAAUCACGAUGGGCACUACCGGUGCUUGAAUAGAUGUAUCUGGAGCAUCAACUGGAGGCUGAUCCUGGACCUGGGCACCUGGUGGAUCUGCAGGUGCUGCCCCUGCUGGUCCGCCUCGUCCAGCACAACGACCGCGUCCACAACCUCUAGUGGGUGGUACUGGUGGUCGUGCUCCACGUCCAUUAGCACGAUUUCUCGCCAUCUGCGAGAGAAUAGAAUACAUAAUUUUAAUUUUUCACGUUGUCAAACCGCACGAUAUGAAUUUCAAGAAAGUGAGGUUUUUCAUAAAAGUUCUGUAGCCUCCUGCUUAUAAGUGUGGUACACGACACACCUAUAAACAAGACUCUACUAAACCGGCUCAUGACUCAUGAGGCCUAGUAACCUAGCUCUGAUACCAACUUGUCACGACCCAACCCGGUCGUGAUGGCACCCAGCUCUAUGGCUAGGUAAGCUUGAGCAACAGUCGCUUUUAACGUAACAUUUAAGUCUCAAACCGAGAAGUUAACAGAAUAAUAAUCCAAGAAUACUAAUAAUGUGAUAUAGGUAAAAUACGAAAAAAUAAAAAACACACCUAAAUGAUCUAGGGAUCACGAGUCUAGAGCCUCUAAACAAAACUGAGUAAUAAUAAUAGAAUCUGAAUACCAAAACCAAAAUCUGGGAAAGUAUGUAAUAAUAAUCAACUAGAGAAAUAAUGAAGAGCAGUCAGGUCCUGCGAUACCUCAACGACUCUGAAUUAUCUCUGGAGACUACGAGAAUCAGUUAAGCCUCUGGUGUACCUGAAUCUAUACACAAGGUGCAGGGAGUAGGGGUGAGUAGUACCGACUCAGUGAAUAAUAAGUAUAGAAAAUAACUGAAGGUAAGAAAUCCACGAAAGACCACAACAAAGCUAUAACUAAAAAUCCUAUAACUUAGCUACAGGCUAACACCAUAUCAUUAUCACAACAACAACCAAGUAUCAGAUAAAGAUGCAACGCAAUGCACAUGAAUUCAUUGCGGAACGUGCAUCCCGAUCCAUUUAACAUCGACGACGCUCACUAGGGGUGUGUACAGACUCCGGAGGGGCUCAUUAAGCCCAAGUGCAAUAUCAAUAUAUAUCCACUGCGGAUCGUGCAGCCCGACCCAUGCUCAGUCCACAAUAUGCAUAUGAGUCACAUAAACAGAUUCAAUCUAAUUUCCCAUUUUCCGAUUUUAAGGUAUACAUAAUUUAAUUAUUAAGUUUCAGGAAAAGUGAUUUAGCAUUUCAUUUCGGUGAUUAAAAACAGGACUGAGAUCAAUGAUUAUACAAUCAUGUUAUCACACAUAUAUUCACCCUAGACGGGUACUACGGAUUGGCACAAGGCACCAAACAUGGCAUUAAGCCCAAUUAUCAGCAACACAAUGUGCGUAUCAGACGCCAAUAAUUUAUUCGCUCUCGGGAUUGACCAAGUCACAAUCCCCAAUCAUUUACAGCCCCGCACCUGCCAUGGGGUGCCAGUCACACAAUAACAUAGCGUCACGAUGUGAUAAACCCGGGUUUCAAACCCUCAGGCCAUCAUCUAUACAAACUACUCACCUCUAACUGGUCGUAGCCUGGUCUGCAAUGCCUUUUCCCUUCAAAUCUUCUCCAACGAGCGUCGAAUCUAUUCAAAACCACAACGAAUAGGUUACAAUAGACUAAAUAAAUAUAACCCAAUUGAAAUUAUUCAAGAAACAUUAAAAAUCACGAAGUUGGUAAAACCCGAGCUCCGGGCCCACUUCUCAAAAAAUUCUGAAAUUUGUAUAUUUAGAUUUCUCUUCUCGCCAUGAGUCCAUACAUAUAAAGUUCAUAAAAAACGGAGUCCAUUUGACCCUUCAAAUCCCCAAAAUUCGUUUCUAAAAACUAAGCCCUAGUUCUUCACAAUUUCUACAAAUUUCAUGGAAUUUCAGGUUGAUUCUUCCUAAAAAUGAUGUUUUUACGCCAAAAAACUUACCUCCAAUCGAUGCCCGCUGAAAACCCACUUCAAAUUGCUUAUAAAGCUCCCUUGGUUGCUUAACAAUGGUGGAAAAUAUGUUUGGUUCGCGGAGGAAAUAACAUAUAAAACCCUUCUGUCGCCCAGAUUUAACCCUUCACGAAUGCGGUCCAAGCCACGCGUUCGCGACGAACAAUUUCCGCUAACCCGCCAGUUGCUCUUCAUGAAUGUGGGAGCACUAUCGCGAUAACGAUGCUUCAAGUCCUUCCUUCUACGCAAACAUGGUCCAAGCCACGCGUUCGCGAUGAACAAAACCAGGCAGGGACUCCAAGCCCUUCUACGCGAACGCGUUUUCUCCCACGCGAACGCGAUGCUUCACCUUCCAACACUACGUAAAUGCGAUGCUUUCGGACAUUAAAUCUACGCGAAUGCGGCCUUCCUUCGCGAUUGCGAAGGCCAAAAUAUGCCUGCACUGCUGCUGCAUUUUCUACAGCACAUUUUCAAGUUACUACUCUCUGUUGGCCAUCCGAAUUCACCCCGAGGCCCUCGGGACCUCAACCAAAAGCACAGAUGUGUCUUAAUACUCCAUUCAAACUUCCUCACAGCAUAAAAACGCCACUAUAAACAUCAAAAUCACCCAAUUUCCACGGAUUCAAAUCUAAGUUAAACUAAAACUUCCGAAAAAAACUUGUUUUUAGCAUAAAAACGCCACCAUAAACAUCAAAAUCACCCAAUUUCCACGGAUUCAAGCCUCGGUUAAACUAAAACUUCCGAAACAUGCAUUUGCUCCAAAACCCGACCUAAAUGCCUUCGAAUGAUCUGAAAAUUUUCACACAUAUCAAAAAUCACCUAAUGGAGCUACUGCAACUAUCGGAAUUUCAUUCCGACUUCCGAAUCAAAAUAUCACCUAUCAACUGGACUUCGGCAAAUUUCUAACUUAACCAAUUCAAGCCUAAUUCUACACCAGACCUCCACAUUCAGUUCUGAUUUUGCUCCUAAGUCACAAACCACCGUCUAAAACUAGUCGGAUCAUCGGAAAUCUAUUCCGAGCCCUCUAACUCAUAUGUCAACUUUCGGUUGACUUUUCCAAACUAACUUUCUCUUAAAGAGACUAAUUGUCUCAUUUCUAUCCAAACUCCAUCCGAAUUACUGCAAACUCUCCAAAUACAUAUAUUGAAACAUAUAACAACAUAAAAGGGGAAAAACAGGUCAGAAAUACACGGGAAGAUGGGUCAGGCCGUAUAGUACUUUCCCUUGAAGCCUAGGCUUCAGAUGAUAUUCAUGUGUCCUGAAACACCUGCAGCUAUGAGAUGGCAUGCCACUAAACGAACCAAUGAUGGAAAUAUAAGACAUCCUAGUGAUGGUGAUGCUUGGAAGAAUUUCGACUCCUUUCACCCUGAAUUCUCUAACUACCCUUGUAAUAUUAGAUUGGGUCUUUCAAGUGUUGGUUUCAACCCAUUUCGAACAAUGAGCAUUUCUCAUAGCACAUGGCCUAUUAUGUUAAUGAAUUAUAAUCCUUUGCCUUGUAUUUGCAUGAAGCCAGAGUAUAUAUAAUAUUUCAAUGAUCAUCCCAGGUCCAUUAUCUCCGAAAAAUGAUAUUGUACCUACAACCACUAAUUGCUAAAUUGAAGGAACUAUGGGAAUUCGGGGUCGAAACAUUUGAUGCUAAAUCUAACCAGACGUUUCAAUUGUGUGCAGCCUUAAUAUGGACUAUUAGUGAUUUUUCUGCACCAGCAAUGCUUUCUGGAUGGAGCACAAAGGGGAAAUUUGCAUGCCCUACUUGUAAUUAUGGCACAUGCUCUCAAUAUAUCGAGCAUAGUCGUAAGAUGUGCUACAUGGUUCAUCGGCCAUAUUUGCCUCAUGAACAUCCAUUUUGAAGAGACAAGAAAUUAUUUGAUGGUAAGGAGGAUCAUAGACUUGUACCUACUCCCUUGUCGGGUACAGAAGUGCUCGAAGAUCUGCGUGAAUUCACGAAUAUCUUUGGAAAGGGCAAAAAUAAAAGAUCUUGGGAUAAUAAGGGUCCAUGGAAGAAAAUAUCCAUCUUCUUUGAAUUACCACAUUGGGAAACUAACAAAUUGAGGCACAAUCUUGAUCCAAUGCACAUUGAAAAGAAUAUAGGUGAUAGUAUUCUUGGGACAUUAUUGGAGAUAGAUGGAAAGUCAAAGGAUCAUGUAAAUUCCCGCUAUGAUUUGCAAGAAAUGGGAAUAAGAAAAUAGCUUCAACCAAUAAAAAUGGUAUAAGUGGAAUAAUUUCUUUGGCUAAAGCUUGUUUCUACAUGAAUCCAGAAGAGAAGAGACGAUUUUGCACCGUCUUUAAAGAUGCUAAAUUGCUAAAAGGGUGUUCCUCUAAUAUAUCACGUUAUGUGCAUGAGAAAGAGAUGAAAAUAUUCGGGUACAAGAGUCAUAAUGCUCAUUUUAUAAUGCAUUACUUGCUCCGAAUUACCGUUAGAAAGUCGUUACCCAAGAAAGGUUUUUUGGAAUUGAUUAGGUUGGGUAACUCUUUUAAAGCCAUAUGUGCUAACGUUAUAAGGCGAGAGGAUCUUGAUAGAUUGCAGAUAGAAAUUAAUAAUAUUAUAUGUGAGCUUGAAAUAACUUUCACUCCAACCUAUUUUGAUAUAAUGCCUCAUUUGCCUAUUCAUUUAGUAAGUAAAAUUAAACUUGGGGGUCCAACUAAUUAUCGCUGGAUGUAAUCAACAAAAAGAAACUUGUGCAAGUAUAAGGCGUUUGUUCGUAAUCGAACUCAUUCAGAAGCAUCAAUUGCAGAGGGUUUACUACCAGAAGAGUGCUUGACCUUUUGUUCGCGAUACCUACAUGAUGAGGUGAAGACAAGAUUCAGUAGGUACCAAACUGAGGAUGAUGGGGACCUUGAGGGAGCAGACUUGUCAUCUAUAUUUCCUAAAAUAGGCCAUCCAAUUGGAAGUAUGAAUAAUAGAACAGGAAAGAUUUUUACCAUGGAUUUGCAGUUAUGUUUUGAGGCACAUGGAUACGCUUUGUUCAAUACUGGAGAUGAACAAGUGGAAGCAUUUAUCAUGUAAGAUAAAAUAUAUUACCAUCACUUGUAUUAUAAGAUUAAUUUAUUUUAUGUGUUAUGAUUUUAAAUAAAUUUCAUGUUGGCCAAAUGAUUAAAUUUGAAACAUAUGGCUUGUAGGGAAUAUAAGAAUUUAAUUGAUAAUUGUACUAGAUCAAUUUCAUAGGUAAGAGCAAGAAAUCAUAGUCAGAACUUGGCGGAUUGGUUAAAAGAGAAAGUUAAAUACAUUGAUGUGCCUAAUCAUUUGAGAUGGCUAGCUAAAGGGCCAAAUACAUUGGCCAAACGAUAUAUUUGAUAUUUUAUUAAUGGUUAAUUAUUUCAUACAAUUACACGGGAUGCCCCUUUAAAGACUUAGAAUAGUGGUGUGACUUUAUUAGCCACAACUUAUAGUUUUUCUAGUGCUAGGGACCAAGAUAUUAGCGGAUUCGUUGAAUAACAUCCUCCAACCAUCAUAGGAUUUUGCAAUAUCUUCUCCUAUGAAAGAUACCUUUUCAUCAGGAAAAUACGUCUUUAAAGGUUCGUAUUCUCCUCCCACAGGAUUCUCAGUGAAGUGAUCUGCCAAGGCUUGUCCUUUGACUGCCUUCUGAGUCAUGUAAACAAUGUCGAAUUUGCUUAGCAGGAUUUGCCAUUUGGAGAGCUUGCUAGUAGGCAUGGGUUUCUGGAAGAUAUACUUUAGCAGGUCCAUUCUAGAGUUGAGAUAAGUGGUGUAGGCACAAAAAUAAUGCCUCAAUUUUUGAGCUACCCAAGUCAAAGCACAACAAGUGCGUUCUAAUAAGGAAUACCGGGCCUCGUAUAGGGUAAACGUCUUACUGAGAUAAUAUAUGGCUUGCUCCUCUCUCCUUGUUUCGUCAUGUUGUCCCAAAACACAAUCAAAUGCUCCAUCCAAUACUGCGAGAUAAAGAAAAAGGGGUCUUCCUGGUUAAGGCAGAACCAAUAUUGGUGGCGUAGACAAGUACUCCUUAAUCUUUUCAGAAGCUUUUUGAAAAUUGUCAGUCCAUUUGGUGGCGGCAUCCUUUUUCAGCAUCUUGAAGAUAGGUUCACAAAUAACAGUGGACUGAGCUAUGAACCGGNNNNNNNNNNNNNNNNNNNNNNNNNNNNNNNNNNNNNNNNNNNNNNNNNNNNNNNNNNNNNNNNNNNNNNNNNNNNNNNNNNNNNNNNNNNNNNNNNNNNNNNNNNNNUUGAGACUGAGCUAUGAACCGGCUGAUAUAGUUGAGCCUACUCAUCACAUCCUUCUUGUUCAUUAGUGGUGGCAACUUUUGAAUGGACUUGCCAUUUGAAGGAUCCAAUUCUAUCCUCAAGCAGCUCACAAUGAAACCCAGUAGUUUCCAACAGGAACCGCGAAUGCACAUUUUGCGAGAUUCUAUUUCAGAUUGUAUCUCCUCAGUCUGUUGAAGAAUUUUCUAAAGUCUUCCAUAUGAUAUGUGGAUUUCUUGGAUUUGAUGAUAAUGUCAUCCACAUACACCUCGAUUUCUUUAUAUAUUAUGUCAUGAAAGAUGGUAGUCAUGGAACUCAUGUAGGCGGCACCAACAUUCUUCAAACCAAAUGGCAUCAUUCUGUAACAGUGCAUCCCCCACGACAUGAUAAAAGCUGUUUUCUCUACAUAUUCUUCAUCCAUUCAUAUCUGAUGGUAUCCGGCGAAGCAACUGACGAGUGACUGCAGCUCAUGCUUGGCGCAAUUGUCAACUAAAAUGUGUAUGUUUGGCAAGGGGAAGUCAUCUUUAGGACUGGUCCGGUUGAGAUCCCUUUAGUCGAGACAAACUCUGACUUUUCCAUCCUUCUUCGGUACUAGCACGAUGUUGGCUUACCAUGUCAGAUACUCCACUACCCAAAAAACCUUGGCUUUGACUUGCUUGGUAACCUCUUCUUUGAUUUUCAAACUCAUGUCAGAUUUGAACUUUCUGAGCUUUUAUUUUAUUGGCGGACAUGUCAGAUCUGUUGGUAACUUGUGAGCUACAAUGGAUGUGCUGAGGCUAGUCAUAUAAUCAUUAGACCAUGCAAAUAUGUCCUCAUACUCUCUUCGGAACUCUUUCUACUCUUUCUUUUCUGAUGGCGACAAAUGCACGCUGAUACGUGUUUCCUUGACAUUCUCGGUAUCUCCCAAAUUAACAAUCUUAGUAUUGUCCAAGUUAGAUUUAGGCCUAUUCAAAAAGUAGUCGACCUCUCUGACAACUUCUUCCGGUAUAUCAUCCUCUUCUUAAUCUAUAUCUGUUUGUUGUGUUGUCUCAUUGUAAGUCACAAUUGUUGGUUCAUCAUAAAGAUAGGUAAUUGUAUUGUUGUGUAAAUAAAUUAAAUGAUAGAGAAAACAAUGAGAGCGAGAUAUAUAGUAAACUUGGAAAUUCUUUUGAUUAUUUUCGAAAUAUCGGAGCUCUUUUCAAAAGUAAAGACAAUGCGGAAAGGAAAAAUCAACUAGUAAAAAGUAAAGAUGCAAUGCAUGGUGCUUUGAUUAGCCUUGCUACCCCGAAACUUUCUGGGCCCAGGUGGUUCUGAUCAAAGAAUUAGUGAGGCGCUUCCCUCGAUGGAUGUAUGGAAGGGCCUUCCUCUCUUUCCUCCUCGAAUAUAACACAACAGUCCAUAUCUCCUUGCUACCCCAAAACGUUUUGGGACCUGGUGGUUCUGAUAGACCAAUUAGUGAGUCUCUCCCCUCGAUUCACAUCUUGUAUGGAAGUUCCUUCCUCCCCUUCCUCCUCGAAGAUAACAGAACAGUCCAUAUCAUCUUCCAAAAGUAAGUUCGUCAUUGCUGCUAAUGCUCAUCGUCCUUUGAUCCACAAAUAAUGUGAGAUGGGUGGAAAGUCUGCUCUAGACGAGGUAUAGAGUGCUCCACUUGAUAGUAUGGGCCGGGCCAUGGUGGAUACCAAUUGUUGAAAUCCUCCAACGUGUGUUUAUAUCCUAAACCAAAGGUAGUACCGUGUUUCUUUAGCUUGAUCGGCUUGGUGAUGCCUUAGAGAUUUUUACUGAGUCCUUUUCGGUGCUCAUACCCGCACAAGUUUAGGAUGCUAUCGAUCUUGUUAUCCCACCAUUUAUAUUUGUCCACAGCAUUGACAUGCUCAACGUGGUGGUACGUCUCUCCGCCUAUUCUCCUUUUACCUCCAAUCAUUGGGUUGGUCUGGCGACUGUAUAUAGGGUUGCUACCAUCGCCAUGAAUGAUAACUUCUAAGUGAUUCCAUUCGAACUUCACUUCUUGAUGUAGGGUUGAUGCCAUAGCUCCAGUGGCAUGGAUCCAGGGUCAUCCCAACAACAAAUUGUAGGAUGCAGAGACGUCUUAUCACUUGAAAAUAAACAUCGAACCAAGUUGGUCCCAUUUGCAAGCACUGUUGAUUUCCCCAAUGGUGGAUCUUUGGGACCCAUCGAAGGCUUUGACAUUGAUAGCCACAUCCUUGAUCUCAUGAAAACCUUUCCCCAUAUGUCCGAAGUGUUAUCGGUAGACAAAUGUUAAGGUUGGAUCCUCCAUAGACCAAGAUUCUAGUGAUGAAGUAAUCUUUGAAUUGCACGGUGAUGUGUAAAACCUUGUUGUGACUUAGUCCUUCCGGUAAUAACUCAUCUUCGUGGAAGGUGAUCUUGUGACUCUCCAACACUUGUCCUACCAUAUUCAACAUUUAGCCUCCAGUUAUGUUGCUGGGAACAUAAGCUUCACUCAAUAUUUUCAUCAGAGCAUUCUUGUGUGCCUCAAAGCUUUACAAAAUAGCCAAGAUGGAAAUCAAUGCUUGUAUUUUGUUCAAUUGCUCCACGACCGAGUAUUCUUUAGUUUGUAUUUUUCUCCAAAGAUCAUCUGUCCUAGCUUUAAUAGGCCAUCCAGUGGUUUGCUUGUUGGACUCAGCUAAGUAUUUUGGAGUGUAUACCUUGCCUGUUCUGGUAAUGCCCUCUGCGGCGAUCGUUUCUCAAGUUUUGUUUUCCCUUUUCUCCUAGCAUCUGUUGUGUAAUCCUAAGGUAUGGAGUUUAAUUUAAAUGGGGUCACAUCUGUCCUUGUGACCGGAAUAGGCACCCCUUGAGGUAACACAACAACUUUAAAUUGUGCAGGUGCCUUUGGAAUUCCGAACUCGACCUCAAUUGGUCUAGGUGCUUUCGUAGGAGGCGCUUCAAACUUGAGCAAUAUGGACAUAUUCACAUCAUCGCUCUCAGAGGGAUAGAUCUGGAUGAAAAUAGGGUUGAGGCUGACUGUUGGCUUUUUCGAUUCAUCCCCUUCGGCAAUCAAUCUAAUUGACCCUUUGGGAUCCCAAUCAUAUUCAAUCUCGAUCAUAUGAAUGCCUCCACCCUUGUGGUCACACAGAGGAUUGUUUCGGACAUUGGGAGCGGGCUCCUUUCCUAUAAUGACUUUAUUAUCAAUCAAGGCCUGAAUCAUAUCUUUCAACGAGCGACAAUCGUUGAUGGUAUGGCCUUUCAUUUCGAAAUGGUAUGUGCAUAUUUUGUUCGGAUUGAUCCAUUGAGAGUUUUCUGGAGUUAUGGCUAGGAUAGGCGUAAUGUAACCGCUGCUAUGAGUCUUUCAUAUUGUUGGUCCAUAGGCUCGACGAUGGCUGAAUAUUGUCUGGGGGGUCGACGGUCAAAAUUUGGUCUAGGUCGAGUAAAGGUUUUACGAGUGGGUGGUGAUUGAUAAUGAAAAGGUUGGGCAUUAUAAGCUUGGUACAUGGGUGCAGGUUGGUAAUAUCUUGGUUAAGUGGGUUGAUGUGAUUGGUAGGCGGGUGGUCGAAUUUGGUAUGUGGGUGAUGGUGCUUGGUAAUUUAGGGAAGGCUGAUAUGUGAGUGGAGUUAGAGGGAAUGUUUGGUAUUUCAUUGGGUACUUGGUUCUCUGCACAGCCAUAACAGAGUUGACAUCCUUCUUCUUUGACGUGCCACCAGAAUGUAAAGCCUUGUUGGUGGCCUAUAAUGCUUCAAGUUUGGUGACCAUACCGUUUUAAUGCCCUCUUAAAUUCUUUCUCCCAACUUGAUGAUGUUGGAGACUUUCUAACCCUCGAUCAGCAUCCACAUUUCAUAAUAUUGUGGAUCUUGAGCCCGGACAAAGAACUUGUUCAUCUGCUCCUCUUCUAAGGCCGGCCUGGCCUUAGCAGCUUCUUACCUCCAACGAGUAGCAUACUCGUGGAAUGUCUCUGUGGGUUUCUUUUUUAGAUUCUGGAUAUAGAAUACGUCCAGUGCAUUCUCUGUGUUAAAUUUAAUUGGUCCACAAAGUCGGAAGCCAUACCUACCUAGUUUGUCCAUUUCUUUGCGUCCUGACUGAUAUACCAAAAUAAGGCAUCUCCUUUUAGACUCCUCGUGAACAGCUUCAUGCGAAUUUUCUCAUCUCUUCCCACUCCAACCAAUUUAUCACACUAUGCCCUUAGAUAUACACUGGGAUCAUCUGUAGCAUCGAACAUUUCAAACCUUGAAGGUUUUUAUCCCUCCAAAAGUUUGACAUCUGGGUGAAUCCAGAGAUCCUCAUAAUACGGCCCUUCUAUACCUUUGUUUCCUUCCACGCCCUGGCCUCGGCUGGUCAACUUCUUGAGUUCUGCUGCCAAGUUUCUGAUAAGGGAGUCUUUGUUGUCUGAUUCAGAUGCACUUGAGAUCGGUUGGGUGUAGUGGGGUAUAGUGUCCACAAAGAUGGGAGAGUUGUAGAGGUUGUCGUUUGUAAUGUUUGGUGGUUUGGGAAUGAGCAGUGGAGUGUUAUUGCAUGUGUAGCAGGUUUGAGUGUGAGUGGGUUGUAUUGGUGGUUGUGGGGUGUUAUGUGGAGGUACGGAGCUUUGGGUGAUGGCAUCAGGAGCUGCAAGAGAGAAUGAUAGGCUUGCCUAGUUCCGAACUUGGUCCAAUUCCUCCUAGAAUUUCGGAAGUUUCUGUUCAAUCUUGGCAGCAGUUCCUUUAGCAAUUGGGUACCCUGGGAAGUUUCCUCCCUAUCAAUUUCCUUUCUAGCACUAGUGUCUCCCAUUUUGCCUUUGUCUUAUUUCUGAUAGGACUCGGAGGAGGAGGUGGUGGAGGGCCCUUUGAUCUUGUAGAGUAUGAUGAUGGUGCCAAAACGCACAAACUAACCUUUGGGGAGGGGAAUACAAAAUAAAAGAAAAACAAAAGGUAAAAAGUUAGUGCGGAUUCUGAGAAAGAGAAUUUUGCAAUAUUUAAACACAUUGUGCAAGAAUAUAAGUUGUGUCCUAAUUUGGGUGCUUCAUUGUGCCCGAGGUCGGCCUAGCGACAAAUUAACUUUGGAGAACUUAUAAUGCUAAUGCCUCAUUUUAUUGAUAAAAAUAAGACGAGUCUAAAAAAAAACUUAAAAUAACGGGAAAUAAAGAUGUCACUUAUGGCCAGUGGCCUUAUUACAUUAUCGUGUCCUAAUUUGGCUGCCUCAUUGUGCCCGAGGUAGGCCUUGCGACAAUAUAACUUUGGAGACCUUAUAAUGCUAAAUACCUUAUUUUAUUGAUAAAAAUAAGAUGAGUCUUAAAGACAACGGGAAAUAAAAUCUCACUAAUGGCCAGUGGCCUUAUUACAUUAUUAAAGUAGGAAAUAAAUGAUCCUAACUACUUGGUCCCGGAAAGACCUUCCCCAGAUUUGGUAUUCUAGCCUCCCUCGUACAGCUGCAUUAACUCGCGUAGUCCUAGCAGCAGAUAGGCUCAGGCCAGAUGUCCACCUCACUUUCUUCAACAUUUUGGCAGUGUUCAAUCCUUUUUAAGAACAUACCUUCAAGCUCUACUAGACCUCGUUCUAGAUACCCUAACCGCUUGUUGGCAUUAACCUUCCACUCUUCGAUCAGCUUAUGGUGAGCUUCUUGUAUCUCUCGAUGUUCGUUUUUGCAUUCUUGAAUUCUUUUGCACAAUUGAUUGUACUUAACUUGAGCUUCAACCUUUUCAUCAAUAAGCAUGUGACCUCGGAUGAACCACGGAUGACCCAAACCAGUGUGAUUAUCUUCCAACCAACCUGAGCAGUGCGGCACACAGCAUGCGUGUUGGCUCGAUAGAUUCUCUCCCCAAAACGAGUUUGCAAUGCCACAUGUGCUGAGCGUGACACCUGUGUUGGCUAUCAUCAUGGAAGUCAUCCCUGAAGUGACUCAAUUUGUUUAUUAUUGGUAUGAUUUGCUUCCUCCCAGCUUGCCUCAUGGCUCGGAGAGGGACAUAAGGAUAAAUUCCCCUCAAACUGAUGAGUAUGAGGAAUGGUGCAUCUCGAGAACGAACAUUGAACCCCUCUAUUGGAAACCACUCAUAAAUCCACUGUACUUGAUCUUCUUUUAGAUUCUCAAAUAGCUCUACCCAUCCUAGAGCGUCCUCUGGUCGGGCAAACAUGUUAGGAAUGAAGUUCAUUCCCUUUGGGUGGUGAAACGCGAUAUGAUCAUCCCAAUCUCUGCAUAUUAUUUCCUACCGGUAAUCACCUUUCUGAAGAUGUUCUAUGAGCCAGAGUUGAAGUAACAGAUUACAUCCUUCAAAGUGUUUGGCCCCUUGCUGACAUUUUUCCAAGGCUCGAUAUAUCUCGGUUACAAUCAUGGGCACUAUGCUGAAAAACUGCUCGUCAAUCCGUUCCAUCAAGAUUUGGUUGGAAUUGUUAAUGUGGUGUGGAUCCUAGCCUUCUUCAUAGGAAAGACUAUCAUCCCAAGGAAACACAAAAUGAAGACGAAAACCCUUCUGUGGAUGUGCCCUAAAGAGGUAAGGGAAAACUCAUUGGUGUAGGUGCGGUAGGACUUGCUAUGGCCAUACCUUUCGUACAAGUAGUCAAAUGGUAUGUAGGAGUCUUUCAGAGAAGUGAGACUUGGGUUUUUCUUGAGUUCCAUCAUCUUAAGAAAGCCUCUACCUUUGCUCUUAUCCGGCAUAAGCAGAUCCUGAGUCUCCCAAGGAAUACCAACUAGACCCCCUAUUUCUUCCAGUAAAGGGGUCAUUUCCAAUUCCCCGAAGCAAAACACUGACUGAUCACUAUCCCAGAACAAAGUUGCAGCCUCUAUGAUUUUGUUGUCCGGCUGAAUUUCCAGAAGUGAAGGAAAAUUCCCUAUGUAUUUGCGGACAAGGGUCUAAUUGCUGGCAUGAAGGUCCUCCUACCAGCUUAGCAGCCUUGGGUGAAUGUUGGUUACCGCACCAAAUCUGGAGACUUCGUGCCUCAUUUUCUGCAAAACAAAGGGUUAGACCCAGACUCGACUAUUUAGAUCAACAAUUAGCAUAAUAGGCAUUUAGUUCUCCAAAUAAAUGCAUAGAACAUGGACGUGUCCAUUUGGGUUUCAAGGAAACCUGAUGGACUUUUGACCAUGCUAUCUUAAUGAGUCAAUAUGGGGAUAACAUAACUAACUCGACUAGGUUUGAUCAUGAUGCAUGAACAAUUUAACAGAGUAAGGUUUCUAUAUUUUUUUUGAAGUGCUAUACUGAUACCCUCAAGCGAACAAAUCAAGAGGGAAAGGCGCGGAACCGUCAAUUACACCGUUGAUCGACGGGUUUUACUGAAAAUAUACCUUUGCCAAAUUUAGGGGGUGAUAAAAUCGGAAGAGCGCAACUACUCAUUAUUAGCGUUGCUAUAGGAUUUGUUUUCGCAUGCGUGGAGUAUGAUGUUGAAGAUGCAAUUUUGCAAGAAUGAAACAAAUUGAUGUAUUUUCACGUACAUAAGAUAAAUGAUUACAAUAAAUGCUCGAAAUCACAACAAUUUUCAAAUAAUAAAUCAGUAAAGGAAAGAAGUGAAAGGAAAGAAACGAGAUGAAAAGCCAAGUUAGUUUCAUGAUGAAAUAGUUAAAAGGCAAGAAGUAAAGGCAAUUAAAGAAAUAAUGAAGUCACAAAUAAAAUGUAAUCGUAGGAAGCCUAAUGUAUCCCCAGUGGAGUCGCCGUGCUAUCAACGCCCCCUCUUUCUUUGUACAGGAGUCCUAAAUCGGGUAUACAAUAUUAUGGGAAGACAAUUCUUAUUCCCUUGUGAGAAUUGGGUUUUGGAGUUUUGGAGAGUCGCCACCUAACGAUUAUAGUGGAUUAGGAUACUUUUGAAGGAAUAAAGAAAUUGAGAAGAAGAAACCAAAGUUUGGGUAAGGUCUUGGAGAUUAUCUCGAGGGGAAGGUGUUAGGAACCCCUCAAGAUCCACUAGUGUGGUUCCCGUUCAUGCUACAAUUGUGACUUUAGAAGAUAGAAGAAAAAAAUAAGGUUUGCACAUAGUAACUAUAAUUAAGUUUAAAGCUUUUAAUAGAAGAAAGGUAUAAACAAUUUUUCUUUUAGAAAAGGAAUUAAUCAAAAGAUAAAAAAUUAAAAGAAAACAUUGUAGAUAAAAAAAGGGAAGGGGGUUUAAACAUAAUAUCGAAUCAAUGCAAAAUCUAGAAAUCACUACCCAUAAAAGGGGUUGCACGUGAUAUUAACGCAAUGGUCAUCAUAUCCAUAUUCUACCCUUCCCACCUCGCUAAGGUAUUAAAGCGCGUUUAGUCUAUUUUACUUAUUGCAUACUACUACCCAUCCUAACAUAUCAGUCCCGGGGUAUUAGGACUUCUAAUCCUAAGAGGGAGGAAAGGGAUGAGGGCCUUUAUGGAGUUUAAAUGAUAAAAUUUUAAUUUUGAUAUUUAAAACAAGUACCAAAAAGGGGAAAACAAAACAGAUAAACAAGGCUCAAAUAAACCACUUAAAUAAGACAAACAUAUAGUUUAGCAUGUCUUGGCACAUACUGAUUUGGUCUUAGAUUAACUUAAGCAGUGAGCGUACUGGUUCAACACAUAUAUUUAGAUAUAAAGUCUGCAUUAGGGCAACUCGGAUACAAUUGGUUAGAGAUUAAGGCAUUUCAAGCGAGUUGUUUAGGCAAGUAAUGAUUUUAAAAGAUAAGCUAAUGCAGAAGAGUUUUGAAAGAAAGAACAGGCUGUAGACUUAGUUUAGAAAUGAGUUUCAAAAGGAUCGGGAGCCUGUCUAGUUAUGAGACACAUAAAUGGUUGUAAAAUAUUUUUAGGAGAGUCAAAACCUAUCUAAAGAAAAGAGUAAGCUGCAUAACUUAUUUAUACAACGUUCAGGAAUUAAGUAUAAACAAUACGUUGAGGCAGGACAUUAGAGAAGCCGUUUCAGUAAAGGGAUGCAGACUUGAAGAUUCAAUUUUAAGACAAAUGUACACUGAUUUAAGAGAGAGUUUUAUAAAAAGGUUAAAGCUUUUAAAAAUGUUACUGAAUUAGGCGUUAUAAGAACCAGUUAACCAAUUAUUACUGUUUUAAAUGGGUCAGGCACAUUUGAUGCAAGUCCUAUAAGAUAUCUACGUGAUGGAUUUUUCAGAACUGGUUAGUGAAUUUGUGAAAAAGAUGCUUGUUUAAUUAACCCUAUAGUUUGCCUAAUGAAUAUCCAUAUCCUAUAGGCAUGAUCUCUAUGUGUUUGAAUCAGGAGCAUUAAAUAACCCUAUAGCAGGAUUUCUAGUAAAAGUAAAGUCCUAAAUCAUGAUUUCUACCCUUUUUAAUGUAAGAAAGCAGAGAUCCAUCCCACACCCUUUUACUACACUACCCGAGUUUUAUACAAGUUAUUACAAACCAUAAAAAGUAUAAAAAUACAUCAAAAGCUAACAGCUAAAUCCAAGAAUCCUAAUUCAACCUUAAAGUCCGACAAUAUGUGAUUAACGAAUUCUGGGAUCCAUAUUUCCAAAACCUUCUCUUUAUCUAAAGUAUUUCAAAGUUCCAAGGAAUCUCAUGGAUUCCCGGCAUUGCAUACACCCAAGGUACCAUUAGAAUUAGAAUAGUGUAGUGUGUAAGAGCCAGCCAUCAUGCAUCCAUGUUUAGAGUGAGCUUAGGGGUCCCAAAGCAUAGCUUGGAAGACAGGGGCAGAACUUAUAGCUAAGAGUAAGUGCAAAGUGAAAAGGGAAUUGGGGAGCCAUAACAAAUGGUGGUCAUGCCUAGCCCCAAGUGUAGGCUGCACACCCUUGACCACUUGUUUGGUUAGAUAAGUUAGGAGCAAACCCUUCACAGUUAGACCAAGGUCUAGAUAGUGAUUAGGACACUAUCAGACCUAAGCCCAAGGCUCAAACACCUAAAAAGGGAAGGGGAGUGAGAAUUGGUUGAGUCAGGGAUUCAAAGAACCAGUUUAGAAUCAUAGACAGCAAUGUUAGAGUACAGUUAUGCCCUGAACCAUAACUCAUAUACAAAGGGGGUAAAUGGUAAGGGAAUUCACAUAAACAAAGUAAAUCACAUAGUGGAGGAGUAGUAUUUAAACCAAGAUGGACAUACUAGUUUCAAAGUAAUAGAAUAUCAGAAUAAUCACAGCAAGCAAACAACAGGAACAACUCAGGUUUUCAGCAGAACACUCGAAAACUCAGAGAGAACUCAAAGGUAUUUCAGAAAGAAAAAAGGAGAAGUACAAAGAACUAGUCUGUGUAUUGGAGAGAAAAAGAGAGUAGAAAGUAGAGUGCCUAUUAUUGAAUACCACUUCCUCGUUUGCUACUAUGUGUGUGUAAGAGUGCAAUUCGAAGUCUUGUUCAAGUGCAGAAGGGUAGUCCCUUUUAUAGUGCAAAAAGUAAGUAAGAAAUGUAAGAAAAUAGCCUUGAAAUAAAUCUCAUAUGAUCUCCCUCCAGUCAAGGGAUUUGAUUUCAAACGGGCAGAAUAAUUAAGGAAAGGGUUUGGUUCAGUAUCUUUCCAAAGCAGCACAGUAAGAGUAAAUACACAAAUACUUAUUUAAGGAAGAAGUCUAGUAAUACACGGUUUGUGAGAAUAAAGAAAGGAAAUCAAUCAAACAACCAGUAAAAUCAAAGUUGAAAGCUUCGUUAUAAUGAAACUAGUUAGAAAAGGGUAAUUAAAAGUUCAAUUGGGGAAAAUCUAACAAUCAGUCAGGACUCGUUAAAAGGAAAUCAGAAUCAAUUAGUGACUGCCAAAACCUUUUUUGGAAGAAGGAUUUCUCAUAUAAAAAGUAGACAAUCAAACAAAAGGGUUGUCCUAUUACUUAAAAAAAGAGUCUAGUAUUGAAAGGUUUAGGAUCACAAGCAAAGGGACACAAGUUUAGUUUGUAGACUCGUAGUUAGUUUGGGAGUCCAAGGUUCCAAAGUGGAACCCUAACUCGAAUACAAUAUCACGAUUGCCAAACAAACCUCCCCCUCCCCCCAAAUCCUAGGGUUUCGAAUCAAAUUAGAUAUAGAGAUGACAAAGCAAGUUAUUGAAAGCGAGUUUUCAAGAAACAAAAAGAUAUGAUAGCAGCUUUGAAACAACCAGGAAAUAAAACUGAUUCAAAGCAUCAACAACAUGUAUUUUUUUAAAGCCAAGCUCGGAACUUAAACAAGUUCAGAAGAGAAAGAGUGAUACAAACUUAAGAAAUAGUAGAUGAAACAUGCUUAGCAAAACUUGGACAAAGUGCAGUAAAGAAAAAAAAAUUAAAAAACUCAGCAAGAAACAUAUACAAUAGAAAUCAUGUAGGAAAAUAUAUCAGCAAUAAUUAGGCGAGCCUAGUCUAGAGGCGUAGUAAAAUACAGAAGUAUAGAAGAAUCAUGCUUAAUAGAAUGAAAGAUAGAAAAUCAAAUACAUGCCUAGCAGAGAAGAAAACAUAUGAGCCAAACAAAAACACUAAAAAAAAGAGAAACAACAAGAAUCAUAUGUUUUGAAAACACUUAAACCGUCAAAUAUAGCAUAGAUUUACCACAGAUCUAGGCAAAUAAAUGAAGAAAGAACCUCGAAUAGGCUUGGGUUUCUGAGAACCCUAAAGGACGAGAAGGCUUGGAAGUCUUCACGAACGGAUGAAACCUUCACUACAGCUUUUCCUAAUAACACCACACAAACUAAAUUGGUUUGGAUACUAGGAACAUGCAAUACAUCACUCAAUGCUAGAGUUUUACCAGAUGUGAGUUCGAGAAGGAUUUUUUCUUUCCCAAGAACACGAGCUGUUCUUGAGUCACCAAGAUAAAUAAAUUCUUCUCCUUCCUCAAUUUGGGUGUAAGAAAAAAUUUAUUUUGGUCUCCACAAAUGUGCCUUGUAGCACCAGAGUGUAUCACCUAAUUUCUCACAUUGGCCACAUUAUUCAUUUGGAAAAUGACCGCAACAAUUAUAUUAUCUGCAUUAGUCAAAUUUAAUUUUGUAUUAGCGAGAUUAUCAUUUAUCCCAAUUCUUCUAUCGCAUUGAGGUGCAUUUUUAUUGAAGGUUUUAAUAUUAGCAUUGGAUAUGUAACCAUAUCUAUUUACUUACCUGUGUUUUGACAUUAGUGUCUGCCAAGGUUGUUGAUACAAUAAAAUUGCAAUACCAGGAAUAUCUGGCAGGACAGCUGCAAUAGUAGCAGCGAAGACAUCACCAGAAUUGGUAGCACCAUCAAAAAUUUCGCAGUAGUAUUACUUGCCAUAAUUUCUUAGAUAGUAGGGAAAUAACACCGACAAAUAACAAUAAUAAUAAUAUUGCUAUAGAAUUAUUUGUAGGAAAAGUACACCAACUGGCCUGAGUCAUACUAGACAGUUUCCUAAGAAACUAUUUCAUUUGAAAAGUUGGUUUGUGUGAUUGGUUGACUUCCCGAGGGCCUCAGGUGUGUUUAGGAUACUCAACGGGAAAUGUUUUGGAGUUGGAAGAAAAUUACAGCAACUCUUCUAAUAUUCUUACUUCUCCAGUUUGGGAACCGUAGAAAUAGAGCCGCAAAACUGGCCUGGCUCAUCGCAGAAGUGAUUCGGGCAUAUUCUUCAGAGACCGGAGAAGCGGUCUAGUUUCUGCAAAGGCGGAACCGCAGAGGUGGUUCUUAUGACCGCAGAAGCUGAACUAUGAUUUAAGUCAGGAGUCGUAGAUACGGCUUGUGGUCUGCAUGUGCGAGACCGCAGAAGCAGUCCAUUGUCCGCAGAAGUGGAAAGCACUGUUCUGAAAAAGGGAAAAUCCGAGGGUUUAUUUCAAAAGUUAGAGAAAUAAGAAUUUAGCUCAGAGAAGGCGAGUUUUGGUGGAUUUUGAAGAGGAAAUCACUAGUUAAUGUUUCCUUAACCCUAUUUAGUAAUUUUCCAUCAAUAUAUAGCUAAAUACACCAUUAAAAUUCGAAUUCAAUGUCAAAAUUGGGGAAAAUUGAAUGAAACUUCUUUGACUUUAUUAUUUUGUUUUGAGUGGGCAUUUGACCUCCGAUUUGGGAUAUUUUUAUACGUUUAGACUUGUGAGAGAAGGAGGGUUCUGAAAAUGUUAAAUUCAUCCGAUUUCGAACAUUGGAUUGAGGGGCGAUUUGGUCAUUCUGCCUAAUUUUGCACUUUAGCUUUGAAUUUAAUUGUAGAAUCAGUCGCUUGAGAUGUUAUUUACAAAUUAUUACUUUGCUAAUGUAUAUCAUUGUUAUCCAAUUUACCAGGCUUAUUGACUCGCGAAAGAAUCUCGCCUUUUAAUAAAUCAAAACAACAAGUGACAUACUUUAUAUCAUGAUUAAGAGUAUAAGUACAUUAAAUGGACUAGAGAAAUUAUUUUAUAAAUUCAAUAUAAAAUACUUAUCUCUACUUGAUUCGUUUAAUACAUAGUUGAACAAAUUUGGACUAUUUGGAGUCGAGUACUCAUGGAAAGAACGUGGCUGCUAGUUGAUUUUAGCCGGUUUGAGGUAAGUAUCUUUUAUAACUUUGUGUGGGGGACUUCCCAUUAGGAUUUGAGUCUUCUCUAUUGAUUGUAUUCCGUGUACGCCAGGUGACCAGUGCGUGCUCGAAUUUAUUUGUGGUAAAUUGUCCCUUUUAGGCUCUUAGACCCUUUAAAUCCCUUAGUCUGAAGAUGAUAUUGAUACAAUUGAGUUCCAUUUGAUUAGUUUCCCAUAUAUAUGUCUUACUUGAUAUUUGUUUGCCUCUUCAUGAUUAUUCUUGCUGUUUAAUUGACUUUUACAUGUUUAACUGAAGACAAUUACCCUAAUAUAGUCCUAUUAUCCGUCUUAAUUGCUCGCCUUUAAUUGGAAAACAUAAAUGUUAUAUCUCAUAUAAUUAAUCAGCCUUAAUUGGAAAGAAGAUAUAUAUCUUAUGAUUAGUUGAUAUUUCCUUAAAUUGUGAUAAUUUGACUCAUGUUAAUUUCCUUACUGUUUGGAUACUCCUUGAUUGUAAGUUCAUCUAUGUCUUAAUGCAAAUAUAUUACAUGUCCAACUGUUGUGGUGUCGGUGUAGCUAUUACGCACUUAUUAUGUCUUGUUAUGUCGUUGUGGUUAUUAUGUUUCUCCUUGGUGUUCAGUGACCUUAUUAGGUAUUGUUUAUUCCCUUGCCGGGACAUUAUUGUUUCUGUUGUUGAUUCCCUUGCCGGGAUGUUAUUGUUUCUGUAGUUGACUCCCUUGCCGAGAUAUUGCUAUUAUAUAGUUUGGGGUUGUACAUCUAUGUUGAUUGUGUUAUAGUGUGGGAUAUCAGGAGAUCCCCAACACAUAUAUUGAGGAUACUAGGAGAUCCUCGGGAUACCAGGAGAUCCCCCAGCACAUAUAUUGAGGAUACCAGGAGAUCCUUGGGAUACCAAGAGAUCCCCAACACAUAUUUGUGGAUACCAAGAGAUUCUCAGGAUACCAAUGGAUCCCUAGUAUAUAUAUUGAGGAUACCAGGAGAUCCUCGGGAUACCAAGAGAUCCCCAGCACAUAUAUUGAGGAUAAAAAGAGAUCCUCGGGAUACCAAGAGAUUCCUGGUACAACUAUUGAGGAUACCAAGAGAUCCUCCGGACCCCAAGAGAUCCUUAGCACACAAAACUAUAUUUGAGACAACAGGACGAGAUCCUAGGAGAACAUUGUUAAACUCAUUGUGUUCUGAGCUGAUAUUUUCAUUGAUUCUAUUCGGGUGUGAAUAAUUAAGGUGUUGGUCGUUCCAUUUCUUAUAUUUACUAGUUGGUAGAAUUCUUGUUAAAUACACUUGCAUAAGCAUACACGUAGUUAUGCACUCCUAUUAGAAAUAAAUACUUUAUAAUUUUGCUAUGGGUGGAGAUACGCCGUCGUUUACCCAUUAAAUAUGUGAAAAUGGCCGUAGUUGACUAGUUAGUUGUCAUCAUGACUAUAAGAUUGAUAGGGAACAAGAUGACAAGUGUUAGAUUUCAGAUGCUGAGUUUUCAUGAGUUGUGGCUGGUCCGUGAUUUUUGGUGAAAUUGUGAAAGAGUUGAAAGGACCUUAUGUAAGUAGCAUUGCAGAAUAAUGAGCUAGUGACUUGUUUGUCUUCGCUGUGUUGUCACCUUAAGAUUCAGAUUUGGAUUCUGCCAUCGGUUGUAUCAUCAUUUGUUAUUUUCCCGUUGUUACUUGUUGCCUUCUUUUUCUCCAUAUUGUGAACCGUAGCAUUUUUAGUAGUUCAUGCGGCCUUUACAUAAUUAUAUACCAUUUACAUUUUUCCUAUGACUAUACUGUUUAUUGACCGAUACGUGUCUUGAAUGUUACUUGUCACUACUCUACCGAGGUUAGUCUUGAAACUUAGUGGGCACUGCUGUGGUGUGCUCAUGCUACUCUUCUGCACACUUUUGUUAUGCAAAUAGAGGUUUCCCCAAUUUAGUUCUGUCAGCCUUGGAGGGUGGCGUAUCAGUAUAGACUUCAAGGUAUACCAUCUACAUUCGUAGACUCCUUUCCAUAUUUCUGUAAUAAGUAUGUUCUUUUAGUAUUUCUCCUUGUAUGGUAUUCUUGAGUCAGAGCCUCUUAUGUAUCUCUUAGCUUGUGAUUUGUGAGAUUCUGGGUUUUGUGAACUUUGAUUAGUUAUGAGAGUUGUUAUUGUAUGUGCCAGGCGGCACCUUGAACACUGAUUUAUUUCACCGGCUUAGUUUUAUUUUUUUGUUCCGCAAUUUGGUUUAUAUUCCAUAUUGUUAGGCUUAUCUAGUCGUAGGGACUAGGUUCCAUCACGGCAUGUUCACAGAGGGCGAACUGGAGUCGUGACAAGUUGGUAUCAAAGCUCUAGGUUCAUAGGAGUCACAGAUCACAAGCAGGUUUAUUAGAGUCUCGUGGAUCGGUACAGAGACAUCUGUACUUAUCUGCAAAAGGCCGUGUAACCCUUAGGAAAAAAAUUUCACUAUAUUUGACUUCCCCGUCGUGCGAGAUUUUGGCAUUCACAAUCCUAAACCUCUGCCUUCCGCUCUCUCACCGAUGGCGAGGACAUGUACUACCCGAGGUGACCAGGCACCCGCGCCCCUUGCUGCAACCGUCAAAGGUCAGGGCUGGGCUAGAAUUCCAAGACGCACACGUAGUGCAGCAAGAGCACCUGCACAAACGGCCGUUGAGGUACCACCAGCAGAUCCAGCCGGAGUCUAUGACAUGCCUACAACUACUACUACUCCAGCCCUUUAGGAGACUUUGGCACAAUUCAUGAGUACGUACACAAUUUAGUUUAUUUAACCUCAUUUAGUUGUUUUCGAUCAAUCUCUAGCUAAAUACACCAUUAGAAUUCGAAUUUAAGGUCAAAAUUGGGGAAAAUUGGACGUAACUUCUUAGACUUAAUUAUUGUGUUUUGAGUGGGAAUUUGACCUCUGAUUUGGGAGAUUUUUAUAUGGUUAGACUCGUGAGAGUAAUAGGGUUCUGAUAAUUUUAAAUUCGUCCGAUUUUGAGACGUUGGACUGAGGUUCGUUGUAGCCAUUUUACCUAAUUUCGCACUUUAGUUUUGAAUAUUAUUGUAGAAUCAGUUGCCUGAGAUGUUAUUUACCAUGUGUGAUUCAAUUGAAUAGAUUUGGGCCAUUUCAAGUCAAUUACUCAUGGCAAAAAUGCGGUUGCUAGUUAAAUUUAGCCUGUUUGACGUAAGUAUCUUGCCUAACUUUGUGUGGGGGACUUCUCCUUGGGAUUUGAGUCUUCUUUGUUGAUUGUAUACCGUGCACGCGAGCUGACAAGCGUGUGCUCGGAUUUAUUUAUGGUAAAUUAUCCCUUUUAGGCUCUUAGACCCUUGAAAUCCCCAAGUGUGAAGAUGAUAUUGAUACGAUUGAGUUCCCUGUUAUUAGUUUCCCCUCUGCAUGUCGUACUUGAUAUUUGUUUGCCCUUCUUGAUUAAUGUUGCUAUUUAAUUGACUUUUGCGUGUUUAACUGAAGACAAUUACCCUUGUAUAGUCAUAUUAUCCUUCCUAACUGUUCUUCUUUAAUUGGAAAACAUAUAUGUUAUAUCUCAUGUAAAAUCAGUGUUAAUUGGAAAGAAGAUAAAUUUCUUACGGUUAGUUGAUAUUUCCUUAAAUUGUGAUUAUUUCAUUCAUAUUAAUUUCCUUACUAUUUGGAUACUCCUUGAUUGUAAGUUCAUUUGUGACUUCGUGCAAAUAUAUUAGAUGUCCAACUGUUGUGGUAUCCGUGUAGCUAUUACGCACUUAUUAUGUCUUGUUAUGUCGUUGUGGUUAUUAUGCUUCUCCUUGGUGUUCAGUGACCUUAUUAGGUAUUGUUGAUUCCCUUGCCGGGACAUUAUUGUUUCUGUUGUUGAUCCCUUGCCGGGACGUUAUUGUUUUUGUUGUUGACUCCCUUGCCAGGACGUUAUUGUUUCUAUUGUUGACUCUCUUGCCAUGAUAUUGCUAUUCUAUAUUUUGGGCUAUACAUCUAUUUUGAUUGUGUUGUAGUGCGGGAUACCAGGAGAUCCCGAGCACAUAUGUUGAGCAUAUAUGUUAUAUUAUCCUUCCUAACUGCUCUUCUUUAAUUGGAAAACAUAUAUGUUAUAUCUCAUGUAAAAUCAGUGUUAAUUGGAAAGAAGAUAAAUUUCUUACGGUUAGUUGAUAUUUCCUUAAAUUGUGAUUAUUUCAUUCAUAUUAAUUUCCUUACUAUUUGGAUACUCCUUGAUUGUAAGUUCAUUUGUGACUUCGUGCAAAUAUAUUAGAUGUCCAACUGUUGUGGUAUCCGUGUAGCUAUUACGCACUUAUUAUGUCUUGUUAUGUCGUUGUGGUUAUUAUGCUUCUCCUUGGUGUUCAGUGACCUUAUUAGGUAUUGUUGAUUCCCUUGCCGGGACAUUAUUGUUUCUGUUGUUGAUCCCUUGCCGGGACGUUAUUGUUUUUGUUGUUGACUCCCUUGCCAGGACGUUAUUGUUUCUAUUGUUGACUCUCUUGCCAUGAUAUUGCUAUUCUAUAUUUUGGGCUAUACAUCUAUUUUGAUUGUGUUGUAGUGCGGGAUACCAGGAGAUCCCGAGCACAUAUGUUGAGCAUAUAUGUUAUAUUAUCCUUCCUAACUGCUCUUCUUUAAUUGGAAAACAUAUAUGUUAUAUCUCAUGUAAAAUCAGUGUUAAUUGGAAAGAAGAUAAAUUUCUUACGGUUAGUUGAUAUUUCCUUAAAUUGUGAUUAUUUCAUUCAUAUUAAUUUCCUUACUAUUUGGAUACUCCUUGAUUGUAAGUUCAUUUGUGACUUCGUGCAAAUAUAUUAGAUGUCCAACUGUUGUGGUAUCCGUGUAGCUAUUACGCACUUAUUAUGUCUUGUUAUGUCGUUGUGGUUAUUAUGCUUCUCCUUGGUGUUCAGUGACCUUAUUAGGUAUUGUUGAUUCCCUUGCCGGGACAUUAUUGUUUCUGUUGUUGAUCCCUUGCCGGGACGUUAUUGUUUUUGUUGUUGACUCCCUUGCCAGGACGUUAUUGUUUCUAUUGUUGACUCUCUUGCCAUGAUAUUGCUAUUCUAUAUUUUGGGCUAUACAUCUAUUUUGAUUGUGUUGUAGUGCGGGAUACCAGGAGAUCCCGAGCACAUAUGUUGAGCAUAUAUGUUGUAGGAGAUCUUCAGGAUAAUAGGAGAUCCCCAGCACAUACAUUGAGGAUACAGAAGAUCCCCAGCACAUAUAUUGAGGAUACCAAGAGAUCCCCGGGAUACCAAGAGAUCCACAGUACAUCUAUUGAGGAUACCAAGAGAUCCCUAGUAUAUAUAUUGAGGAUACCAGAAGAUCCUCGGGAUACCAAGAGAUCCCCAGCACAUAUAUUGAGGAUACCAAAAGAUACUCGGGAUACCAAAAGAUCCCUAGUACAGCUAUUGAGGAUACCAAGAGAUCCCUUGCACACAUAGCUAUGUUUGAGACUAACAAGACAAGAUACUGGGAGACCCCCGUUAAACUCAUUGUGUUCUGAACUGAUAUUUUCAUUGAUUCAUCUGGGUGCGUAUAAUUCGGGUGCUGGUCGUUCCAUUUCUUGUAUUUACUAGUUUGUAGAAUUCUUGUUAAAUACCCUUGCAAAAGCAUACACGUAGUUGGACACUCUUAUUAGAAAUGAAUUCUUUCUUAUUUGGCUAGGGGUGCAGAUACGUCCUUGUUUACGUAUUAAAUAUGUGAAAGUGGCCCUAGUUGACUAGUUAGUUGUCAGCAUGACCGUGACAACUAAAAUUUCUCAUAUAAGUUAGGAGAUAUAUAUAAACUCAUUAUCUGAUAAAAUUUCUCAUAAAACCAUUGAAACAAACAAUGAAACUACCUCUAACGAGGAACUGAGAAUGAGCAAAAAGCCUAGAAAAAAAUAUUUUUCUAAUGGAAAUGAUUUUCA
This 32213-nucleotide long non-coding RNA is filed under the name Nicotiana benthamiana. RNAcentral's name for it is "long non-coding RNA (NBEN_LNC037824)". The record is from RNAcentral. Lineage: Eukaryota; Viridiplantae; Streptophyta; Magnoliopsida; Solanales; Solanaceae.